This 87-nucleotide transfer RNA is filed under the name Candidatus Komeilibacteria bacterium RIFCSPLOWO2_01_FULL_53_11. Its description in RNAcentral is "tRNA-Leu". It matches the Rfam family "tRNA". Rfam says of the family: Transfer RNA (tRNA) molecules are approximately 80 nucleotides in length. Their secondary structure includes four short double-helical elements and three loops (D, anti-codon, and T loops). The record is from RNAcentral. Lineage: Bacteria; Candidatus Komeiliibacteriota.
GUCGAAGUGGCGGAACUGGUAGACGCGCCAGCUUGAGGGGCUGGUCCUCAUUUGAGGGUGGAGGUUCAAGGCCUCUCUUCGACACCA